This 440-nucleotide ribosomal RNA is filed under the name uncultured bacterium. RNAcentral describes it as "partial 16S ribosomal RNA". It matches the Rfam family "Bacterial small subunit ribosomal RNA", at positions 338 to 795 of the family's 1533-position model. The record is from RNAcentral.
CCUACGGGUGGCAGCAGUGGGGAAUAUUGCACAAUGGGGGGAACCCUGAUGCAGCAACGCCGCGUGAGUGAUGAAGUAUUUCGGUAUGUAAAGCUCUUUUAGUAGAGAAGAAAAUGACGGUACCUGACUAAUAAGCUCCGGCUAACUACGUGCCAGCAGCCGCGGUAAUACGUAGGGGGCAAGCGUUAUCCGGAUUUACUGGGCGUAAAGGGCGCGUAGACGGGAGGGCAAGUCAGGAGUGAAAUCCUGGGGCCUAACCCCAGAACUGCAUUGGAAACUGCCAUGCUGGAGUGCUGGAGAGGUAGGUGGAAUUCCUGGUGUAGCGGUGAAAUGCGUAGAGAUUAAGAGGAACACUCGUGGCGAAGGCGGCUUACUGGACCGUAACUGACGUUGAGGCGCGAAAGCGUGGGGAGCAAACAGGAUUAGAUACCCUAGUAGUC